UACGGAGGAUCCAAGCGUUAUCCGGAUUUAUUGGGCUUAAAGGGUGCGUAGGCGGUCUGGUAAGUCUGCUGUUAAAGACUAGGGCUUAACCGUUGAAUUGCAGUUGAAACUGUUGGACUUGAGUAUACAUGGGGUGGGCGGAAUUUGUGGUGUAGCGGUGAAAUGCUUAGAUAUCAGGAAGAACACCGGUUGCGAAGGCAGCUCACUGGGGUGUAACUGACGCUGAUGCACGAAGGUGUGGGGAGCGAACAGG
This 253-nucleotide ribosomal RNA is filed under the name uncultured bacterium. RNAcentral describes it as "partial 16S ribosomal RNA". It matches the Rfam family "Bacterial small subunit ribosomal RNA", at positions 524 to 776 of the family's 1533-position model. The record is from RNAcentral.